This 97-nucleotide transfer RNA is filed under the name Fomitiporia mediterranea MF3/22. It matches the Rfam family "tRNA". From Rfam's summary of the family: Transfer RNA (tRNA) molecules are approximately 80 nucleotides in length. Their secondary structure includes four short double-helical elements and three loops (D, anti-codon, and T loops). The record is from Rfam by way of RNAcentral. Lineage: Eukaryota; Fungi; Basidiomycota; Agaricomycetes; Hymenochaetales; Hymenochaetaceae.
GCCCGCCUAGCUCAAUCGGAUAGAGCGUCAGACUCUUACUUGGAGAGUCCUAAAAGGUGGAAUCUGAAGGCUGCGAGUUCGACCCUCGCGGUGGGCU